RNAcentral lists this ribosomal RNA (354 nucleotides) under uncultured bacterium. RNAcentral describes it as "bacterial SSU rRNA". It matches the Rfam family "Bacterial small subunit ribosomal RNA", at positions 8 to 350 of the family's 1533-position model. The record is from RNAcentral.
AGAGUUUGAUCCUGGCUCAGGAUGAACGCUAGCUACAGGCUUAACACAUGCAAGUCGAGGGGAAACGACAUCGAAAGCUUGCUUUUGAUGGGCGUCGACCGGCGCACGGGUGAGUAACGCGUAUCCAACCUGCCCACCACUUGGGGAUAACCUUGCGAAAGUAAGACUAAUACCCAAUGACGUCUCUAGAAGACAUCUGAAGGAGAUUAAAGAUUUAUCGGUGAUGGAUGGGGAUGCGUCUGAUUAGCUUGUUGGCGGGGUAACGCCACCAAGGCGACGAUCAGUAGGGGUUCUGGAGAGGAACGGUCCCCCANAUUGGAACUGAGACACGGUCCAAACUCCGUACGGGAGGCA